CUGGAGGUAUCAGAAGUGCGAAUGCUGACAUAAGUAACGAUAAAGCGGGUGAAAAGCCCGCUCGCCGGAAGACCAAGGGUUCCUGUCCAACGUUAAUCGGGGCAGGGUGAGUCGACCCCUAAGGCGAGGCCGAAAGGCGUAGUCGAUGGGAAACGGGUUAAUAUUCCCGUACUUGGUGUUACUGCGAAGGGGGGACGGAGAAGGCUAUGUUGGCCGGGCGACGGUUGUCCCGGUUUAAGCGUGUAGGUGUGUGUUCCAGGUAAAUCCGGUUCACUUUAACACUGAGGCGUGAUGACGAGGCACUACGGUGCUGAAGCAACAAAUGCCCUGCUUCCAGGAAAAGCCUCUAAGCAUCAGGUAACAUCAAAUCGUACCCCAAACCGACACAGGUGGUCAGGUAGAGAAUACCAAGGCGCUUGAGAGAACUCGGGUGAAGGAACUAGGCAAAAUGGUGCCGUAACUUCGGGAGAAGGCACGCUGACA
RNAcentral lists this ribosomal RNA (483 nucleotides) under Salmonella enterica. Its description in RNAcentral is "partial 23S ribosomal RNA". It matches the Rfam family "Bacterial large subunit ribosomal RNA", at positions 1273 to 1756 of the family's 2925-position model. The record is from RNAcentral. Lineage: Bacteria; Pseudomonadati; Pseudomonadota; Gammaproteobacteria; Enterobacterales; Enterobacteriaceae. RNAcentral also lists the same sequence under 9 other names.